UACGUAGGCAGCAAGCGUUGUUCGGAAUUACUGGGCGUAAAGAGUGUGUAGGCGGUUCUCUAAGUUCCGUGUGAAAUCUCCCGGCUUAACUGGGAGGGUGCGCGGGAAACUGGAGGGCUGGAGUAUGGGAGAGGAAAGCGGAAUUCCUGGUGUAGCGGUGAAUGCGUAGAUAUCGGGAGGAACACCAGUGGCGAAGGCGAUUACCUGGGGUGAAUCUGGCGCUGAGGAACGAAAGCUAGGGGAGCAAACGGG
This 252-nucleotide ribosomal RNA is filed under the name uncultured prokaryote. RNAcentral describes it as "partial 16S ribosomal RNA". It matches the Rfam family "Bacterial small subunit ribosomal RNA", at positions 524 to 776 of the family's 1533-position model. The record is from RNAcentral.